GACAGAGGGUGCAAACGUUGUUCGGAAUUACUGGGCGUAAAGCGCGUGUAGGCGGUUCGGCAAGUCGGAUGUGAAAGCCCUGGGCUCAACCGAGGAAGUGCAUUCGAAACUGCCGAACUUGAGUUCUGGAGAGGAAGGCGGAAUUCUCGGUGUAGAGGUGAAAUUCGUAGAUAUCGGGAGGAACAUCGGUGGCGAAGGCGGCCUUCUGGACAGCAACUGACGCUGAGUCGCGAAAGCGUGGGGAGCAAACAGG
RNAcentral lists this unclassified non-coding RNA (253 nucleotides) under uncultured Polyangiaceae bacterium. RNAcentral describes it as "contains 16S-23S intergenic spacer region". It matches the Rfam family "Bacterial small subunit ribosomal RNA", at positions 524 to 776 of the family's 1533-position model. Lineage: Bacteria; Pseudomonadati; Myxococcota; Polyangiales; Polyangiaceae. The record is from RNAcentral.